Molecule: small RNA, 128 nt
Filed under: Staphylococcus capitis
Lineage: Bacteria; Bacillati; Bacillota; Bacilli; Caryophanales; Staphylococcaceae
Source: RNAcentral
CUACAUACAACCGCUCAAAUACAGGUUUAAGUACGAAGGCAAAUAUAUUAUUUUGUUUGUCUAUUCAAGCUAGCUUCAUUGUAUAGCUCAUGAAGGUGUCACCUGUAUAUGGCGUGACUUAUUAUAUA